GAUGAACGCUGGCGGUAUGCCCAACACAUGCAAGUCGUACGAGAGUUUUUAACUCUAGUGGCGGACGGGUGAGUAACACGUGAGAAUUUGCCUUUAGGAGGGGGAUAACAAUUGGAAACGAAUGCUAAUACCCCAUAUGCUUUUGAGUGAAAUGGAUUUUAUCCGCCUAGAGAGAAGCUCGCGGCUGAUUAGCUUGUUGGUAAGGUAAGAGCUUACCAAGGCGACGAUCAGUAUCUGGUUUGAGAGGACGAUCAGACACACUGGAACUGAGACACGGUCCAGACUCCUACGGGAGGCAGCAGUGGGGAAUUUUCCGCAAUGGGCGAAAAGCCUGACGGAGCAAUACCGCGUGA
RNAcentral lists this ribosomal RNA (353 nucleotides) under uncultured bacterium. RNAcentral's name for it is "bacterial SSU rRNA". It matches the Rfam family "Bacterial small subunit ribosomal RNA", at positions 28 to 404 of the family's 1533-position model. The record is from RNAcentral.